Molecule: ribosomal RNA, 253 nt
Filed under: uncultured bacterium
Lineage: Bacteria
Description: partial 16S ribosomal RNA
Rfam family: Bacterial small subunit ribosomal RNA
Source: RNAcentral
UACGUAGGGGGCAAGCGUUGUCCGGAUUUAUUGGGCGUAAAGAGCGUGUAGGCGGCCAGGUAGGUCAGCUGUGAAAACUCGAGGCUUAACCUCGAGACGCCGGCUGAAACCCUCUGGCUAGAGUCCGGAAGAGGAGAGCGGAAUUCCUGGUGUAGCGGUGAAAUGCGCAGAUAUCAGGAAGAACACCGGUGGCGAAGGCGGCUCUCUGGACCGAGACUGACGCUGAGGCGCGAAAGCGUGGGGAGCAAACAGG